This 467-nucleotide ribosomal RNA is filed under the name uncultured bacterium. RNAcentral describes it as "partial 16S ribosomal RNA". It matches the Rfam family "Bacterial small subunit ribosomal RNA", at positions 28 to 507 of the family's 1533-position model. The record is from RNAcentral.
GACGAACGCUGGCGGCGUGCUUAACACAUGCAAGUCGAACGGAAAGGCCCUGCUUUUGUGGGGUGCUCGAGUGGCGAACGGGUGAGUAACACGUGAGUAACCUGCCCUUGACUUUGGGAUAACUUCAGGAAACUGGGGCUAAUACCGGAUAGGAGCUCCUGCUGCAUGGUGGGGGUUGGAAAGUUUCGGCGGUUGGGGAUGGACUCGCGGCUUAUCAGCUUGUUGGUGGGGUAGUGGCUUACCAAGGCUUUGACGGGUAGCCGGCCUGAGAGGGUGACCGGGCAGAGUGGGACAGAGAAACGGCCCAGACCCUACGGGAGGCAGAAGGGGGGAAUAUUGCACAAUGGGCGGAAGCCUGAUGCAGCAACGCCGCGUGCGGGAUGACGGCCUUCGGGUUGUAAACCGCUUUCGCCUGUGACGAAGCGUGAGUGACGGUAAUGGGUAAAGAAGCACCGGCUAACUACGUG